UACGAAGGGGGCUAGCGUUGUCCGGAAUCAUUGGGCGUAAAGAGCGUGUAGGCGGUCCGUUAAGUCGGCUGUGAAAGUCCAAGGCUCAACCUUGGGAUGCCGGUCGAUACUGCCGGACUAGAGUUCGGAAGAGGCGAGUGGAAUUCCCGGUGUAGCGGUGAAAUGCGCAGAUAUCGGGAGGAACACCUAUGGCGAAGGCAGCUCGCUGGGACGUUACUGACGCUGAGACGCGAAAGCGUGGGGAGCAAACAGG
Molecule: ribosomal RNA, 253 nt
Filed under: uncultured bacterium
Lineage: Bacteria
Description: partial 16S ribosomal RNA
Rfam family: Bacterial small subunit ribosomal RNA
Source: RNAcentral